GCGCGGGUGGUGGAAUUGGUAGACACGCUAGCUUGAGGGGCUAGUGGACGCAAGUCCGUGGAGGUUCGAGUCCUCUCUCGCGCACCA
RNAcentral lists this transfer RNA (87 nucleotides) under Candidatus Uhrbacteria bacterium. RNAcentral describes it as "tRNA-Leu". It matches the Rfam family "tRNA". Rfam says of the family: Transfer RNA (tRNA) molecules are approximately 80 nucleotides in length. Lineage: Bacteria; Candidatus Uhriibacteriota. The record is from RNAcentral.